This 417-nucleotide ribosomal RNA is filed under the name Theileria sp. 327_09. RNAcentral's name for it is "SSU rRNA". It matches the Rfam family "Eukaryotic small subunit ribosomal RNA", at positions 469 to 923 of the family's 1831-position model. The record is from RNAcentral. Lineage: Eukaryota; Apicomplexa; Aconoidasida; Piroplasmida; Theileriidae. RNAcentral also lists the same sequence under 1 other name.
GACAAGAAAUAACAAUACGGGGCUUAAUGUCAACUAAUUGGAAUGAUGGGAAUUUAAACCUCUUCCAGAGUAUCAAAACGAGGGCAAGUCUGGUGCCAGCAGCCGCGGUAAUUCCAGCUCCAAUAGCGUAUAUUAAAAUUGUUGCAGUUAAAAAGCUCGUAGUUGAAUUUCUGCUGCAUUACUUUUGCUCCUUGACGAGUGUCUGUAUUGCGGCUUAUUUCGGAUUAUGCUUGCAUUUUCCGGAUGUUUACUUUGAGAAAAUUAGAGUGCUCAAAGCAGGCUUUUGCCUUGAAUAGUUUAGCAUGGAAUAAUAAAGUAGGACUUUGGUUCUAUUUUGUUGGUUUUAGGUACCAAAGUAAUGGUUAAUAGGAACAGUUGGGGGCAUUCGUAUUUAACUGUCAGAGGUGAAAUUCUUAG